UGGGGAAUUUUGGACAAUGGGCGAAAGCCUGAUCCAGCCAUGCCGCGUGAGUGAAGAAGGCCUUCGGGUUGUAAAGCUCUUUCGCGAGGGAAGAAAACGUAUUCGCUAAUACCGGAUGCGGAUGACGGUACCUUGAUAAGAAGCACCGGCUAACUACGUGCCAGCAGCCGCGGUAAUACGUAGGGUGCGAGCGUUAAUCGGAAUUACUGGGCGUAAAGCGUGCGCAGGCGGUUUUGUAAGACAGGCGUGAAAUCCCCGGGCUCAACCUGGGAAUGGCGCUUGUGACUGCAAGGCUUGAGUAUGGCAGAGGGGGGUAGAAUUCCACGUGUAGCAGUGAAAUGCGUAGAGAUGUGGAGGAAUACCGAUGGCGAAGGCAGCCCCCUGGGUCAAUACUGACGCUCAUGCACGAAAGCGUGGGGAGCAAACAGG
RNAcentral lists this ribosomal RNA (429 nucleotides) under uncultured bacterium. RNAcentral describes it as "bacterial SSU rRNA". It matches the Rfam family "Bacterial small subunit ribosomal RNA", at positions 355 to 776 of the family's 1533-position model. The record is from RNAcentral.